UACGUAGGGUCCGAGCGUUGUCCGGAAUUAUUGGGCGUAAAGGGCUCGUAGGCGGUUUGUUACGUCGGGAGUGAAAACCCAGGGCUCAACCCUGGGCCUGCUUCCGAUACGGGCAGACUAGAGGUAUGCAGGGGAGAAUGGAAUUCCUGGUGUAGCGGUGAAAUGCGCAGAUAUCAGGAGGAACACCGGUGGCGAAGGCGGUUCUCUGGGCAUUACCUGACGCUGAGGAGCGAAAGUGUGGGGAGCGAACAGG
Molecule: ribosomal RNA, 253 nt
Filed under: uncultured bacterium
Lineage: Bacteria
Description: partial 16S ribosomal RNA
Rfam family: Bacterial small subunit ribosomal RNA
Source: RNAcentral